Molecule: ribosomal RNA, 274 nt
Filed under: uncultured bacterium
Lineage: Bacteria
Description: partial 16S ribosomal RNA
Rfam family: Bacterial small subunit ribosomal RNA
Source: RNAcentral
AUACGGAGGGUCCAAGCGUUAUCCGGAAUCAUAGGGUUUAAAGGGUCCGCAGGCGGUCAAUUAAGUCAGAGGUGAAAGCCCAUCGCUCAACGAGGGAACUGCCUUUGAUACUGGUUGACUUGAGUUAUACGGAAGUAGAUAGAAUAAGUAGUGUAGCGGUGAAAUGCAUAGAUAUUACUUAGAAUACCGAUUGCGAAGGCAGUCUACUACGUAUAUACUGACGCUGAGGGACGAAAGCGUGGGGAGCGAACAGGAUUAGAAACCCUAGUAGUCC